RNAcentral lists this ribosomal RNA (252 nucleotides) under uncultured bacterium. RNAcentral's name for it is "partial 16S ribosomal RNA". It matches the Rfam family "Bacterial small subunit ribosomal RNA", at positions 524 to 776 of the family's 1533-position model. The record is from RNAcentral.
UACGGAAGGGGCAAGCGUUGUUCGGAAUUAUUGGGCGUAAAGGGCGUGUAGGCGGCUUCGCAGGUCUGUGGUGAAAGGAUACGGCUCAACUGUAUUGAGCCGCGGAAACGGCGGAGCUUGAGGCUGGGAGGGGCUGGUGGAAUUCCCUGUGUAGCGGUGAAAUGCGUAGAGAUGGGGGAGAACACUCGUGGCGAAGGCGGCCAGCUGGACCAGUUCUGACGCUGAGACGCGAAAGCGUGGGGAGCAAACAGG